UGUAGCUCAGUGGUAGAGCAUGUGCCUAGUAAGUGUGACUCUCUGGGUUCAAUCCCUAGCA
Molecule: transfer RNA, 61 nt
Filed under: Fukomys damarensis (Damara mole-rat)
Lineage: Eukaryota; Metazoa; Chordata; Mammalia; Rodentia; Bathyergidae
Rfam family: tRNA
About the family: Transfer RNA (tRNA) molecules are approximately 80 nucleotides in length. Their secondary structure includes four short double-helical elements and three loops (D, anti-codon, and T loops).
Source: Rfam by way of RNAcentral